UACCACCCUGAAUGCGUCUGAUCUUGUCUGAUCUUGGAAGCUAAGCAGGGUCGGGCCUGGUUAGUACUUGGAUGGGAGACCGCCUGGGAAUACCANNNN
This 99-nucleotide ribosomal RNA is filed under the name Cebus imitator (Panamanian white-faced capuchin). Lineage: Eukaryota; Metazoa; Chordata; Mammalia; Primates; Cebidae. The record is from RNAcentral.